Ipomoea triloba (trilobed morning glory) is the source of this 1625-nucleotide RNA transcript. It is a transcript of the gene named cytochrome c oxidase assembly protein COX11, mitochondrial, with no coding region annotated. The transcript is spliced from 9 exons. The record is from RefSeq and is a predicted model, not a curated record. NCBI's taxonomy places the organism in Eukaryota, Viridiplantae, Streptophyta, Magnoliopsida, Solanales, Convolvulaceae.
UCGCGGCCUUCGAAGUUCAGCGUUGUGGUCGAGUUGAUUGCCUCUCUGCCUCAUAGAUUAAACUCUGCAAAACUCCACGAACAUCGCGCCUCUAGCUCAUUGAUCAAUUCCACGGACUCUGCAUCGAAGUUCAGUUUGCCUCUGAGUUGAUUGCCGGCUGAAUUGUUGCAGGUUUUUUCAUCGAGCCGAGGCUUCAAUUUUUCAGCCCCAAAACCUCCUCCGGCCUUCUUGUACUGAAAAUUCCUGCUUCUGCACCCGACUCUUGCAACCAAGGGAAUGAAGAUAUAAAUUGAGUGAACUGUUGUUGCUUCAGAUGCUACUGAAUGUGAAUUGAUUCAACAAAAAAUGUCAUUUUUCCGAGUUUUUGGAAGAACCCAAGCGCUUCAUUCUUUUAAUACAACUCUUCAGCUUCACUCUUCAACAUCCAGAAACUAUCUUCAAAUUAUUGCGCCAAGAUAUAGCCUUUUUAGUGUUGGAAACAAUGGGCGCUGGAAAGUUUCGAGUUUUGGAUGUGGGAGCCUGAUGCCAAGGUGUGAAUUCAGAUCAGUAGUUGAUAGCAACAAUCUGUUCUCCAAUUUGGGAAGGCAUAGUAUAGCAAGGUCUUGUUCAAUGUUGAACUUUCAGCACCAGUAUGCAACUAAAGCAGCUUCCACAGAGAAGAAAUCUAAGAAGAUGCUCCUUUACUUAACGGGAUUGGUUUUUGCGAUGGUAGGAUGUAGUUAUGCUGCAGUUCCUCUGUACAGGAGAUUCUGUCAAGCUACGGGCUAUGGGGGUACAGUUCAACGCAAGGAGAGCGUGGAAGAAAAGAUUGCUCGCCACUCCAAAGAUGGAACAGUUAGUACCAGGGAGAUAGUUGUACAAUUCAAUGCUGACGUGGCUGAUGGAAUGCCUUGGAAGUUCAUUCCUACACAGCGAGAGGUAAGAGUGAAGCCAGGAGAGAGUGCCCUUGCCUUCUACACUGCCGAAAAUCGAAGUUCAACUCCAAUUACUGGUGUAUCUACAUAUAAUGUCACUCCUAUGAAGGCUGCUGUGUAUUUCAAUAAAAUACAGUGCUUUUGCUUUGAGGAACAGCGUCUACUUCCCGGGGAGCAAAUUGACAUGCCUGUAUUCUUUUACAUUGACCCCGAGUUCGAAACAGACCCAAAGAUGGAUGGUAUCAACAACAUUAUCCUCUCGUAUACAUUCUUCAAAGUAUCUGAUGAAUAGUGAUUCUACUCGUGUCAGUAACCAGUAUCAUUGAUUGACACUCCCAUGCAUGACAUGACCUUCAAUAGAGGCACUAACUUGCAGAGAAAAAGCCGAUUGCUGAACUAUCACGGGUAUGCUCUUCUCUCGCCCCUCUCCUCUCCUGCAACUCAUCCUCUCUUCGUCUCCUAAGGAAUUUUUCCAGAAAGAGAUUAUCGCCUUCUGCUAGGUAAUUCUUCUGUUCUUCAAAAGUGGCAGUAAUUCUUGAUUUUUACCCAUAAUGUUUAGACACUGUGUUUAAACAUGUGACAAAGAUGCCAAAGGAAAGAGCCAACUGUUGGCCAUGUAUUUCAGUGACCCCAAACAACGUUUCUUGUACUAUGGGAAUCAUGAAACCGCCAUUAAUGUGAAGGGUUGUGUGCACUGUGUUUGUCAGUCUA